Molecule: ribosomal RNA, 134 nt
Filed under: uncultured bacterium
Lineage: Bacteria
Description: partial 16S ribosomal RNA
Rfam family: Bacterial small subunit ribosomal RNA
Source: RNAcentral
CGUUCCCGGGCCUUGUACACACCGCCCGUCACACCACGAAAGCGAGCAACACCCGAAGCCGGUGGCCUAACCGCAAGGAGGGGAGCCGUCGAAGGUGGGGCCCGUGAUUGGGGUGAAGUCGUAACAAGGUACCC